This is a small nucleolar RNA of Amaranthus tricolor (Joseph's coat), 146 nucleotides long. RefSeq annotates it as small nucleolar RNA snoR134. The record is from RefSeq and is a predicted model, not a curated record. NCBI's taxonomy places the organism in Eukaryota, Viridiplantae, Streptophyta, Magnoliopsida, Caryophyllales, Amaranthaceae. The transcript has a single exon.
UUGCACGUUGCACCCUGGGCUUCUCUGAAAUUUACAAUAAUGAUGAUGCCAAGCCCCAAUGCUCAUGUUAUAUUCUGCCGCUUGUGCUGCAGUUUAUUCGCCUCUUUGUUUUACGUUUGAUCUGUGUCUAAAGAACGACCACAUCU